AUUUAGUUAACUUUAGCUAGCUAUGACAAUCGGUUUGUUUUGCUAGUAACAUUACUUUAUGGAUUGGGAUUAUAGUACACUUUUUAGCUAGCUAGAUAACGUUAAUGUUACAUGUCUAAAGAAAAUACCCCAAGUUCAAGCUUGCUGUUAGCUAGCUAACGUUAGCUGAGGUUAGAUGACUGCCUUGCUAGCUAACAUUAACUUACGUGUAUGUGUAAUGUUAGUGAUGUUUUCUCAGAAUGCCAUUUCUAGCUAACUAACAUGGAAACUAUUUGAUUAACUUUAGCUAGCUAUGACAAUCGGUUUGUAUUGCUAGUAAGAGCUUGCUGUUAGCUAGCCAGCUGACGUUAGAUGGGUAUCAUUAUGUGUAUGAACCGUGUGUAGUGAUAUCUCAGAAUGCCAUUUCGCAUCUAUUGUAUAAUAAUGCUAAAAUAUUUGUAUCUGGAAUUUGUCUCUCAGCAUCAGUAGAACACGCCUGACUCUCCUCCACCAGUCAUACAAGGAGAAUGGUCUAAUGCCUCAAAAAGAGAGCUGACCCAUGCAAGCAAUGGCAGCAGUGCAGUCAUCAACCACAUGCACCAUUUCUUCACCAACUACGGAGUUGGGGAAACACGUGUGGUACUGAAUUGUGAUACCUGCAGUGGCCAAAACAAGAACAAGUUUGUGCUCUGGUUUUGUGCCUGGUGAACCAUGCACAAGAUCCACCAGAGUCUGGACCUUCACCUCCCGAUCACAGGCCACAACAAGUUUGCCCCUGACUGGUGCUUCGGCCUCAUCAAGCAGCGCUUCAGAAAGACCAGAGUGAACACUUUGUCUGAGAUUGCUGGUGUUGUGAAGGACAGCACUGUGAUAGGGGUCAACAUCCCACAGCUGGUUGGACUGGAGGAUGGUACGGUGCUGAUGGAAAGCUAUGGCUGGCAACAACACCUGACUCCUUACUUCAUGCCGCUGCCACAGAUCAAGCAGCACCACCACUUCAGCUUCGAUGCUCUGGAUCCUGCUGUUGUUGUCGCCAAGGAGCGUUCGGACUGUCGGGACCAGGUUUCAGCAGCUGCUCAACGCUGACAUCCUUCCUCCCAUAGAUGGUCUGCCUGUACAAGCACCACCUGGACUGGACACAGCUAGACAAACUUAUCUUUUUGAGAAGAUCAGGGAGUUUUGCGACGAAGAGGCUAUGGACAUCACAUGCUGUGCACCAAAGUCAAGGGCAGGACAGAAACAGGCACUCCGAAUAUAGAUUCCCUUGUUCAUGUGUGGUUUGGACGGACCAGUCAUCAGCACUAUCUGCAGUGCCUCUAUUCAAAUGACUCUCUCCUAACACACACGCCAUACGUUGCUGCUACUAUUAUUAUUUUAUCCUGCUGCUCAGCCACUUUACCCCUGAUUGUAUGCAUACAACUACCUCGUCUAUCACAAUCGUUAUUGAUAUUGUUUAUGUACAUGCUGUAUAUUAUUUCAUUUAUAUUGAC
Molecule: long non-coding RNA, 1469 nt
Filed under: Salmo trutta (river trout)
Lineage: Eukaryota; Metazoa; Chordata; Actinopteri; Salmoniformes; Salmonidae
Description: lncRNA (ENSSTUG00000000345.1)
Source: RNAcentral